This 1321-nucleotide unclassified non-coding RNA is filed under the name Espeletia boyacensis. RNAcentral describes it as "partial external transcribed spacer". Lineage: Eukaryota; Viridiplantae; Streptophyta; Magnoliopsida; Asterales; Asteraceae. The record is from RNAcentral.
CAGGCCUCCCUCUGCUUGGUUCCAGUCGUGGGCAUGAGUGAGGGGCGAUGCUUGAUGGCUUUGAUGCCAUCGGUGGGAAUGUGUUUAAGCAUCGGCCUUCCCUCAUGACCACGAUGGUCUACAGUCUUGUGUACGAGUUAGUGACGUCGCUUGUUUGUUUUGAUGCUUGCGUUGGAACUUGCUUAAGCAACCGACCUGACGAAGUACCCAUGAAUGUCACUCAUGAUGGUCUACAGUCUUGCGUACGAGUUAGUGACGUCGCUUGUUUGUUUUGAUGCUUGCGUUGGAACUUGCUUAAGCAACCGACCUGACGAAGUACCCAUGAAUGUCACCUAUGAUGGUCUACAGUCUUGCGUACGAGUUAGUGACGUCGCUUGUUUGUUUUGAUGCUUGCGUUGGAACUUGCUUAAGCAACCGACCUGACGGAGUACCCAUGAAUGUCGUUCAUGAUGGUCUACAGUCUUGGGUAUGAGUCAGUGACGAUGCUUGUUUGUUUUGAUGCUUGCGUUUGAACUUGCUUAAGCAACCGACCAGACGAAGUACACAUGAAUGUCGCCCAUGAUGGUCUACAGUCUUGGGUAUGAGUCAGUGACGAUGCUUGUUUGUUUUGAUGCUUGCGUUUGAACUUGCUUAAGCAACCGACCAGACGAAGUACACAUGAAUGUCGCCCAUGAUGGUCUACAGUCUUGGGUAUGAGUCAGUGACGAUGCUUGUUUGUUUUGAUGCUUGCGUUUGAACUUGCUUAAGCAACCGACCUGACGAAGUACCCAAGAAUGUUCAACCUAGUAGGGACGUGUCCCUGCGCCCAACGACUUUUGUCGGGAUCGUGGCAAGUCUGCGAUCCAGGGGGUGAUGUUGAGAGCCGGAAGGCAAGGGGGUGCAAACACUAGUCUGCCUUUGUCCCGAUUGCCGAGUGUUAUGUGCUUGAUGUCCAAGGCUUGAUGCUGAUCCUCCAAGUGGGGCUUGUCCCUGCACCAAUGGCUUUUGCCAGGAUCAUGGCGUUUGUUAUGAUCGAAAAACUGAGGGGGUGAUGUUUAGAGCUGGAAGGCAAGGGGGUGCAAACACCAGUCGGCCUUUGUCCCGAUUGCUGAGUGUUUUGUGCUUGAUGUCCAAGGCUUGAAGCUGACCCUCCAAGUGGGGGCUUUUUUGUUCCUGCGAUAACGACUCUGUUGGGAUCAUUGUGAUCAAGUUUGGUUGGUUUCGUAUUGUGGUGGGUUUUUUCGAAGCUUCUAUCGUUCUUUUACGCAUCGUGCGGUGCAUCUUGGGGGCUGUUUUGGCUUUUGGUUGCUUGCUUGGGCUUUAUGCUAGGCGGGUGGCUAAU